Molecule: unclassified non-coding RNA, 336 nt
Filed under: soil metagenome
Description: partial contains 5.8S ribosomal RNA, internal transcribed spacer 2, and large subunit ribosomal RNA
Rfam family: 5.8S ribosomal RNA (bases 1-120)
Source: RNAcentral
GAUGAAGAACGCAGCGAAAUGCGAUAAGUAGUGUGAAUUGCAGAAUUCAGUGAAUCAUCGAAUCUUUGAACGCACAUUGCGCCCCUUGGUAUUCCAUGGGGCAUGCCUGUUCGAGCGUCAUUUGUACCUUCAAGCUUUGCUUGGUGUUGGGUGUUUGUCUCGCCUUUGCGUGUAGACUCGCCUUAAAAUAAUUGGCAGCCGGCGUAUUGAUUUCGGAGCGCAGUACAUCUCGCGCUUUGCACUCAUAACGACAGCGUCCAAAAGUACAUUUUACACUCCUGACCUCGGAUCAGGUAGGGAUACCCGCUGAACUUAAGCAUAUCAAUAAGCGGAGGA